UCACUACACUCGUAAUCUGAAUAUGUAUUUUAUCAUUCACAUUAACUCACUGAAGAUGUAUAAGAAUA
This 68-nucleotide transfer RNA is filed under the name Schistosoma mansoni. The record is from RNAcentral. Lineage: Eukaryota; Metazoa; Platyhelminthes; Trematoda; Strigeidida; Schistosomatidae.